GUCCACGCCGUAAACGAUGGGUACUAGGCGUCGGGGGAGCGACCCCCUCGGUGCCGUCGCUAACGCAGUAAGUACCCCGCCUGGGGAGUACGGUCGCAAGACUGAAACUCAAAGGAAUUGACGGGGGCCCGCACAAGCGGUGGAGCAUGUGGUUUAAUUCGAAGCAACGCGAAGAACCUUACCUGGGCUUGACAUGCACGGGAAAGCCGGUGGAAACAUCGGCCCCUCUUCGGAGCUCGUGCACAGGUGCUGCAUGGCUGUCGU
Molecule: ribosomal RNA, 264 nt
Filed under: uncultured bacterium
Lineage: Bacteria
Description: partial 16S ribosomal RNA
Rfam family: Bacterial small subunit ribosomal RNA
Source: RNAcentral